Molecule: unclassified non-coding RNA, 18 nt
Filed under: Dictyostelium discoideum
Lineage: Eukaryota; Evosea; Eumycetozoa; Dictyosteliales; Dictyosteliaceae
Source: RNAcentral
UACCGGGUUUAUGUCAUU